GGGAGGGCGGGGGGCACCGGGACCGGCACCGGGACCGCGACCGGGACCGCGACCGGGACCCAGCAGGAUGGGAACCGAGACCGGGACCGGGACCCAGCAGGAUGGGAACCACGGCCGCCCCGGAGCGGACCCCGCACCCCGGAUAGCCCCCGUCGGAUUCUUGAAAAAUUUGAUGACAACUCCUCAGAUGAAUUAGGUUUGCAUCCGGAAGCCAAGGAGAGGAGAGAGCAGCCGACAUAGAUCUCUAAAGACAAGAAAGCCAACUGGAAGAGCAUCUCUGCACUGCAGUGAAAAGCUGCAGCUCUGGAAAGCUACCAUGUCAAAAACAAGCAGCAAGCACUAAGACCGAAUCCCCUGAAAACAGAAGUUUAAGGCCAUCUGCAUUGAACUGCCUUUGAGCUGUGGCUAGCCAGAACUGUGAGCAGCAAGGACAUGUACCCAAAGUCAGGGCAUCUCUGGUCACCCCGGACAGUAAGAGCUCCUGCAUACCCCACAGCCUGCCAGAACAGCCAUGGACUGCCCACAUCAGCUUUGCACUGGCAGCUGGCAUAACUCAGAUUCUUCUUGUAGCAUCUGGAAUCCAGGAAAUCCCAUUAUUUAUCACUGGAGACCAUUACACCUGCUUCUAAUUGAACAGAAGGAAGAGCCACCAGGAAGGUACUGCUCACUGCCAAGCAAUGGUGAGGAGAAUGACAAUACCAAGCCCCUGGAUCUUUAGAACUGCUGUCUUAUAUGGGUUUAUUGUGGGUAUUGCAACACCAAGCAUUUAAAAAUCUCUGUACAUUUCAGUAUUUAAAUAACUAAAUUCUAAACCAAACCAUAAACCAACACCACUUCACCCCUG
Long non-coding RNA from Oenanthe melanoleuca, 844 nucleotides. RefSeq lists it as uncharacterized. NCBI's taxonomy places the organism in Eukaryota, Metazoa, Chordata, Aves, Passeriformes, Muscicapidae. The record is from RefSeq and is a predicted model, not a curated record. The transcript is spliced from 4 exons.